This is a long non-coding RNA of Hyaena hyaena (striped hyena), 244 nucleotides long. RefSeq lists it as uncharacterized. The record is from RefSeq and is a predicted model, not a curated record. The transcript has 3 exons. Lineage: Eukaryota; Metazoa; Chordata; Mammalia; Carnivora; Hyaenidae.
CUAGAGCUGAGUAGCCAUGUGUAAUGGUAAACAGCUUGCCUCUGUGGGCAAGGAGCCUGGAGGCUGAUAUUCGGUAAACCUGAUCUGACUUAUCCCUUAUCACGUGAUGAAGAUCUUGGCUGCCACUUUUGUGGUUGAGAAGCAAAGUGACUCACUCUGCAUUUUCACUACGUGCACACACCACAGAUGGUUGAAUCAUUCUCUAAUGUUGAAGAUCUUGGCUUCAACAAACUGCGGGUAAGGA